CUGCAACCCGCCUGCAUGAAGUCGGAAUUGCUAGUAAUCGCGGAUCAGCAUGCCGCGGUGAAUACGUUCCCGGGCCUUGUACACACCGCCCGUCACACCAUGGGAGCCGGUAAUACCCGAAGUCAGUAGUCCAACCUCGUGAGGACGCUGCCGAAGGUAGGGAUUGGCGACUGGGGUGAAGUCGUAACAAGGUAUC
This 196-nucleotide ribosomal RNA is filed under the name uncultured bacterium. RNAcentral's name for it is "partial 16S ribosomal RNA". It matches the Rfam family "Bacterial small subunit ribosomal RNA", at positions 1305 to 1500 of the family's 1533-position model. The record is from RNAcentral.